GCUGACCGUUGUCCGAACUUUUAAGAUGUUUUAUAAAACUUUACUAGACCUAUAACCCGAGGUCAGUUUGGCAACUGCUGAAGUUUUAUUGUACAGACACGUUCAAUAGUUUAUAAAAGUGCUUAUUUGACAUAUUUGAAAUGUCCUACGCUUGAAAAUGUAUAGAACAUUUAAACAAUAAUUUUAUGUAAAAUAGUUUACAAAGUAGAACUU
RNAcentral lists this long non-coding RNA (213 nucleotides) under Mytilus galloprovincialis (Mediterranean mussel). The record is from RNAcentral. Lineage: Eukaryota; Metazoa; Mollusca; Bivalvia; Mytilida; Mytilidae.